Molecule: ribosomal RNA, 433 nt
Filed under: uncultured bacterium
Lineage: Bacteria
Description: partial 16S ribosomal RNA
Rfam family: Bacterial small subunit ribosomal RNA
Source: RNAcentral
AACGAACGCCGGCGGCAUGCCUAACACAUGCAAGUCGAACGAUGCCUUCGGGCAUAGUGGCGCACGGGUGCGUAACGCGUGGGAAUCUGCCUUUCGGUUCGGAAUAACUCAGGGAAACUUGAGCUAAUACCGGAUAACGUCGCAAGACCAAAGAUUUAUCACCGAAAGAUGAGCCCGCGUAGGAUUAGCUAGUUGGUGAGGUAAAGGCUCACCAAGGCGACGAUCCUUAGCUGGUCUGAGAGGAUGAUCAGCCACACUGGGACUGAGACACGGCCCAGACUCCUACGGGAGGCAGCAGUGGGGAAUAUUGGACAAUGGGCGAAAGCCUGAUCCAGCAAUGCCGCGUGAGUGAUGAAGGCCUUAGGGUUGUAAAGCUCUUUUACCCGGGAAGAUAAUGACGGUACCGGGAGAAUAAGCCCCGGCUAACUCCGUG